GUGACCAUGGUCUUUCAGAAACAGAAUUUUAUCUUUGAUUUUGCAGAAUGAGCAUUAAUGGAAAUCUCUUUGCUCCCAGACGGUCAACAGCUGAAUGAGAAGUCAUUUAUGGUGGUUAAGAUCUAUCCUGGCUCCAGUCUUUCAUCUGUGAUCGGAAGGGGAAUUAUGCCACCUCCAUCAGCAGGCGAUGAUCCAAGGGCUUCCACAUAUCCGACUUGUCUGCAUGGGGGAAUACGAAGAAAGGGGAAAUGGGAAAAAGCCCAAAGAAGAUGGGUGAACAGGAUCUCUUCUUUCUAGGUCCUUCACUGCAAGAAGGAUAUUGAGGUGCUGGAAAAAGUCCAGAGAGGGGCGAUGGAGAUGGUGAAGGGUCCAGAGAAUAAAUUCUAUGAGGAGCACCUGAGAGAGCUCGGGUUGUUUGGCUUGGAGAAAAGGAGGCUCAAUGGAGAAGUAAACAUUCUCUACAGCUACCUGGAAGGAGGUUGUAGCCAGUAGAAUAAAGGGGAGCAGCAAACCAAAGCCACUGUGCUGAACCAGGACAGAAGUCCCACCUCACUGGCUGCAGAGUAAUGAUCACAAGGCUGGCUGCUUCCUUGGAGAACUGCUGGAGGGACCUGCCAAGCAUCCUGCUGUAGGGCACUGCAGCAUUCUGUUUAAGUGACACAGCCAAGAAAAAAAAAGGAUUUUUGAAGAGUGCAGUGAGGAAGAGAGGUUAAUGAUUGAAAAUAAAUAAGUGAGGAUAUUGAAGGUGAUUAAAAUGAAAAAAAAUUGCAUACAAAUUAAAGAGAUUAGAUUGAUUCUGCAUAUACAUGUGUGCACAGUUUAAAACUUGUUUGGCCAUUGGCCAAAUUUCACAGAAAGGAGUAUUUGUCCUGCCUUCUGGAAGUUGCAUCUCUUGAAGUAUCUUUCCUUCAGUGGUUGGUUGAUUUGAUUCUGUUGCUGAUGUUGUCUUCUAGCAGCUUGCAUUUUGUCCUGCUUGUUAUAUAGCAAUCAUAGCUGUUAUUAACUACUAUAGGCAUAAAUAAAGCAUGAUGGAUGAAUUAACUGAAGAGUCAUAAACAGUGUGCUGUCUUACAGGAGGUUUUAAAUGUUUGCUGACCUUUGCUUCAGUCAGACAUGUAUCAUAUAUAUAGAUGCAUGUGAUUGCAAAUAUUGAUAUUUUCAUGCUUUAUUUUUUUAAUGAAGUAAAGGCUGACAGCAUGUCUAAAUGGAAACUUCCUUUUUUUUUUUUGUGAAUAAAAUAUUUACUUAUGUUUCCUGUUGUUUCUGCUUACUUUCCUGUUGGGUAUACUUAACUAUUGAUUAAAUUUUUUUACUUUACUUACUUUCAUUUAGAUAUUCAUAAGUGGAAUGUUAAUAUACACUCUAAUUAUUUUUUUUUCUCUAUUUCUAAGAUAUCAACAAUUUGAUCACACGUGCUUGUGUGGCUUUAUAGCAUCAGAAAACAACAGAUGAUUUUCAGAUUGGCUUAGCUGAUAAAAAAGAAAGACCCUUUGAAUGGGAAAUUGCACACUAUACUCUGAAUGCAGUCAAAUGGAUGAAGUAAAUUAAUUUCCCUGGCACUUUUUUUCUGAAAGACCUCCAGUCUAUUAAUUGGAGUAUUGUGUUUACAUUUCCAUUUGUCUUCAUAUAAGAACCUAGGUAAUUGUUAACUGCAUACAGAGAGAAGUCCAAGAGAAGAGCAACUGUGUAUAACAGCUUUUGAAGGGGCAAGAGUGAGUUUGGGAGACAACCUUUAGCAAGCAACAAGAAGAAUCAGUCAUAGUAAUUAUUAUAAUCUACUUCAAAACAUCCAGGAAAACAAAAUUAUUCUAAAAUUUAUUCUAUCAGUUUUACCAAUAAGAUACCUCUUUAUUAGUGGGAGAAAACUCACAACCCAAAACACAAAAAUUCUUACUUCUACAGUAAGCAGAGAUUUUGCAGAGCAUAGUUUGCUAUCUCAUAUAGGUUCCAGCUAGGUAAUACAUGUGAAUACAUGAUACCAAUGUCAACCUUCUGUAGAGAAUAGUCACCUGAAUAUUUUACUUCAUUUGCCAGUAAUUUCCAAUGUUUUCUUUGAGUUCUACUCCUCUCUAGCAAAUGUGAUUGAAAUUCACCAGUAAGUUCGAAACUUUCAGAGGAAGAUGAGAGAAAGCGUGAAACUGGAAUGAGCUACUCAAUCAAACAAGUCUCAUUUACUUUAGAGAGUAGGUUUUAUGAUGGUAUUCUUAACUGGGAUAACAAUUGGUAGUAAGAUGAUUGAACAUGGCUGCACAUAUGCUGCUCUAUAGUAUUUCAGGGCACUGCUGAAAAAUAUUGUAGUAUGCAUAUAAUGCCACUUGCCCUGUUUUUUUGUGCUCUAGCCCACCUAUCUAAAUUUCAGGGACUGAAUGCUCUGCUUUCAUUUCUAUGACUCUCUGAGGGGUUAUGAGCAAAAUCAUUGAAGCUGGAGCUUUGUCACUUAUUGGCUCUGAAACUUACUUAUCUAUGCAGAAGAUAAAUUACACCAGCCUGCUUAUUUCAUCAUGACAUAAGCAGCCUUCUUUCAUUUCAGACCCUAUUUCUCAGGCUGUGCAGACUGUGAAUUAUAGCGUUCUGAGAAUUGUGUGAAUAAAAAACUUCUUUACCUGUCCAUACCUGGCAUUUGAGAUUGUAGCAUAAAGAAAAUGAGGGUAAAAUUGCAAAGGACUUCUGGUCUUGAAAAUUUUGUUCAGGCCUCAGAAACUGAAGCUCUUUGAGCUCCUCUUAUUAAGAAGCCAUUUUUCCACUGUCAGACUACAUUCUAUGGAGAAAAAGUUUUGUUUUAGGAACAGACAUAAUUAAGCAGUAAACAGCCACACUAAGCAGCUUUUUCUAUUAGACUGAAACGUUAGCAAAAAAUUGUGCAGGAUUUUGCUUCAGAAGGCCAGUCUAUAUUCAUUACAUGCACUCCCUUACUCCUCUGAGCCAGUGAGAUCCUAGCAGCAUGAGCUCUGAGGCUGUAUUAUAAAAAUUCCUGCCCUCUUCAUCUGUGAGCCUCUUGUUCAGGAAAACUCUCAGUGGACAUUCAAUGAAAGCAAUCUUAUAUUUUAUGUCUGUGGUUCCUAUUAGAAAUAUCUUGCUUUCCCUGCCCCACCCCCAGUAAGCAUAGGGAGAGAGGAAAAAAGUGCUUAUUCACGAUUUUGCUUGGUUAAUUCAUUCCUCCCAAUGUCUUCCUUUUUUGUCUAAGCAUACUGAUGGGCUCUCAAAUAGGGACAUAAGUGAGGUCAGCUUUCUCCACCAGCCUUGAAUAGCCUACCCUGUGCCGAAGAGGCUUUACAAUCCAUUUAGUCAACAUAGCUUGGAAAAAUUACUAUCAGGCACUAAUGCCGACUUGGAACACACAGAUGGCAGAAAGCAGAGCAAAAUAUUACUAAACAAAUAAUGUUUUGAAUGUUAGUGUUUAGGGAGAUGCAGAAAAAUCAUACAGCUCUUGCCUGCUCCACUCAUUCUGUUAGAGGCUGGAGGAAUUUUUGCAAAUUGCUUCUGGGAACAUAUUGGAGGGAUCUAAACUUCACAAGUGAGUUCCUUUUUUUCAUAGCAGAGAUCAAGUGGCCUAACUUAUUUAGAAUAGAUUUAUUUUACUGUUUUUUUUUUUUUUUUUUUCACACCAGAGAUCAUCUCGUAAGACAGCAGAAGUCUUCUUUAUGUUUUCUCCUCAUAAACAAUUUCAUAUGAAGAAAGUCAUCAGCACCUGAGAGCUGUAUCUGUACUAUUGCUUACACUGCACUUGUCAGACCUAAACAACAAUGAAGCUGAGAAAAAUGUCUUAAAGUUAAUGAUUUUCAGUAAAGUCUUUUUUUGUUCAAACAGUGAGUUUUGGUGGUACCUUUUCCAGUAAGAAAACUAUUUUAUAAUGGAAUUACUAUCUGGAGACCAUAUUAAGUCAAAGGAGAGGGCAUAAAUUAUUCCAUAUGAAUUCGUAACCUGAAAUCCUUAGCCAAAGCUCAUUAAAACCUGAAGCAAAACCAACACUUCUCAAAAGGAAGGAUGAUUGCCUCACUAACAGAGACAUGAACAUUUUUUUUUUCUUGAACGACCUUUUUAAUUAGAAAAAUCUAAUUUGAGGAUUGCCAAAUCUGUACAGUAUUUGAUGAAUUCUUUUCAACAAGACAGGAAAAUGAAAAUAAUAUUUUUAAAACCCCAGAAAUCAACAUCCUGCCUUUUCUACCUCUCUUUUUUUUCCCCCUUUAAAAUAUCCCUCCUUAUUUUAAGAGAAUAAUAUCUAUUACUUUAUUUUAAAUUUCUCAGUUUCCCAACUCAUUAUGAAUUCAGCUGUCUGGACACAGUUAGAUCAGAGUUUUUGUUAUAAUAAUGUAGGUGAAUAUUCCUUAUUAGCUUGAUGCAAAAGAAAUUUCUAACAAUUUUCACCCUUGGUUAAAAAUAAAAUGUAUUUAAUUUCUUGUACCUAGUCAAGGUUAGAGGAGAUAAUAUUGGGAGUUACUUUUCCAUCAUGGAUAACUUAUUUCUAGGCUACAAUAAACAAAAAUGAGACAAAGCAAGAAAGAAAAUAUACCUGCAAAAAACUGCAGUUCAGACAUGAAAGGUAUGAACACAGAACACGUUUUAGCAAAUACUAAAAUUCAGAUUUGACUGGCUGCUUCUAAUGUAGCACAGCAAUACAAUGUUGAAAACGUCACAAAAGCUGAAACAAUAAACUGUUCUUUAAAUUUUUUUUAAAAUUUUAUUUUACCAAAAAGAAGUGUCAGAAUGUCUUCAGGUUUUAUAUUUAUGAUCAGAUUUUGAAAAUAAUGGAAGAGCUUGAUGAACAGCAAAAUUAUUACAGAUAAUCAGCACAGAAAGCCUGUUCUGCAAUCUUUUAGUCCACACAAGUUUUUGGAUCCCUUUUAUUCAUUGGACACAUGUGAAUGCAAUCCAGAUCACUCUCACUGUGAGACUUAUUUUAAAAAGCACUUUGUGAAAUUGAACUUGAACAAAGAAAUAAUAUAGUUCGUUAAAGAACUCAUCUGUGUACCAGCCUUGUUAUUAAGCAAAACAAUCAGUUUAAUUUUUUUUAAUUUGCGAAACCAUUUUGGGAUAAUAAGAAAAUUGAACAUUGCAUACCACACUGCUGUAUGUACAUUUUAAGAUAAUUAGAUGUUCAAUAUCCAGUAUUCCCAGGAAGAGGAAUAGCUAUGAGCCUUAUUCUGUUUUGAAACUCAAACUCCCCUUAUUACAUUUUCAUUACUUUUUCUACUCACUUUAUUUUUCCAUUUCUCCUCCUGGUCCUCUUCUACCCCAGCACAAUUUUGGAUGUGUGGGGCAAUUUAUGUUUGUUGUUGUUGAAUGCAGGGUAUAUGAAAAAGAUGCAAAGAUUCUUAGAAUAUCUUCCGGACUUGCUUGUGCUGUUUGAGAGUAAGCAACUGAGUGGUGGGAGCUCUCUGUAUUCUGCUUAAUGGCAUUAUUUUAAUGUUUAUGGAUUUUAAAUGUAAAAAAAAUUGGCUGUUUAAAGUAAAACACUGUAAAAAAAUAAAUAAAAAUUCUAUCAUUAAAGAUAAAGUAAAAAGUGUCACAAAGUUCAACUACCACAAAUAUCCGAUUUAGGAGGUUGUACGUUACAGUAAACUUCACCUACGAAAUACUGCAGUUCUGCUAAAGUCAGUGCAGUCACUGAUCUACAUUAGAUGAAGAGCUCAACAGAGUGUGUAAAAAUUCAUUCUCUAAUACUAUAAGAAGAAUUAUGCUUUUCCUUUUGUUGAGUGUUUUUAUUUUUUCAUCCUUUUCUUCAAACCACCCUGGAAAUUCAGCCAGUGACAAUUUGAUUCCCUUAGAUUUGCCACUCAUUUGCUGGUUCUAACUUUAGCACCCAGAGAUGCUUGGCAGAUUAAUUGAUGAAAACCAUGAGUUUCUCUGAAUAUGCACACCUUCCUGCCAUGUGUUUCCCCUGCCACCUCUGCCUGUGCAGACAGCUGGGUGGAUUACUGCUUCUUCAGUUUGAUCCCUUCUGCCCUGAUGCAGGCAGAUUGAACCAUGAUGCAAAAGGAGAUGAAAAGCACAGAACAGGUAAGAAUAAAUACAUAAGAAGGAAACAAAACUGUGCUUUGACAAGCUGUUUACAAGGGAAACACCCUCUCCAGAAGUAAAAUUCCACAUCUUGUGUAUUGACACCACAAGUCAUUAUGGGAGGCAGAUAUUGCCUUCAGUGGAUAUAUCUGGCUAUGCUUGUUAUCCAAAAGAAAACUGGGGAAGUUUACCUUCUCUGUUCCCAGUUCUCCUUCUCUGCUUCCAGUUCAGAGGUCUGCAGGAAACUGCUGGUGGAUUUGAAGUAGAAGCUUUCAUGACACCUCCAUCCAGCUGAACUGGCAGCAGGUUUGAGCUAUGAUGGCAUCCCAGAUUUUGUAAAUUUAGUGCUGUCCUCACUUGAAAGUUGGAGUCUGUCACAUUUACCAAAAAGCAUAUCUUCUUUCACCACAAACAUGAUGUUUUGCUUAUUUUUCUGUCCUAGCCUUCAAUAUCUUUACCUCAUAACAGAAUUUCUUAUUGUGUUAUCUAAAAGUUUUAUUUUAUCAAGAAUAAAUUAUUUUUACAACAGGAAAACACUGAUGAACUAUUUAACUACCUAAUUGAGAACUGCUUGAAAAGGGUUGCAAAUUUUCCUUACCCAAGACUUUCUACUCUGAAGCAGCACUAAGCUGUCUUUUACUGCAAUGCUGCACUGUCCCCUUGAAAGCUUUGGUCAUGCAGUCAGUCUGAUGUGCUGACAUUUUGCAGGUCCCAAAUUUCCUGUAUGAACUGUGCCUCCUCUGGGGUCUGUAAGCCACAGAAGGCAAAAUGGGAAGCAGAAGAUUGUGGCUCACAGUGAUUAGCAUAAUCAAACAAAAAUGCAGGUCUCAUCAGACACUGUGACACAAUAGCCCCAGGGAUCUUAGUAUUGAGCUGCCCUGACACAAAAGAUUUAGUAUCAGUUUAAAAAUCAAAGUGUUCUGCCUUUUUUGUAGCCUGUGUUUGCUUGCUUGUUUCCUUAAAAUAGUUUGAAAUGUAACAAAUCAUGAAGUACUGGUAAAAGUAUAAGAGAGCUGAAUAAACUUAAUACUUUUCUUUUGCUAGUGCCCUCCUUUUUUAUAUAGAGCUGUUUAUAUAGAGCUAUAAGAUCCCUGAAAAGAGCUGUUUCAUUGUUAUUUGUCUCAGGAAUAAAACGUGGUGAAAAUGUAAAAAAAAAAAACCAAAUUCCAUGCAAGUGGUUGACAAACACACAGACUCACGGGUCCUGGGAGUUGUGAGGCUUGCCAGC
Passer domesticus (house sparrow) is the source of this 7225-nucleotide long non-coding RNA. RefSeq lists it as uncharacterized. Lineage: Eukaryota; Metazoa; Chordata; Aves; Passeriformes; Passeridae. The transcript is spliced from 4 exons. The record is from RefSeq and is a predicted model, not a curated record.